CCUACGGGUGGCAGCAGUAGGGAAUAUUGCUCAAUGGGGGAAACCCUGAAGCAGCAACGCCGCGUGGAGGAUGAAGGUUUUCGGAUUGUAAACUCCUUUUGUUAGAGAAGAUAAUGACGGUAUCUAACGAAUAAGCACCGGCUCAAUCCGUGCCAGCAGCCGCGGUAAUAUGGAGGGUGCAAGCGUUACUCGGAAUCACUGGGCGUAAAGAGCGCGUAGGCGGGAUAGCAAGUCAGAAGUGAAAUCCUAUGGCUUAACCAUAGAACUGCAUUUGAAACUGUUAUUCUAGAGUAAGGGAGAAGUAGGGGGAAUUCUGGAGGGAGGGGGAAAAUCCGUAGAGAUCAAGAGGAAUACUCAUUGCGAAGGCGACCUGCUAAAGCAAAGCUGACGCUGAUGCGCGAAAGCGUGGGGAGCAAACAGGAAUAGAUACCCCUAGUAGUC
This 441-nucleotide ribosomal RNA is filed under the name uncultured bacterium. RNAcentral's name for it is "partial 16S ribosomal RNA". It matches the Rfam family "Bacterial small subunit ribosomal RNA", at positions 338 to 795 of the family's 1533-position model. The record is from RNAcentral.